This 497-nucleotide ribosomal RNA is filed under the name uncultured bacterium. RNAcentral's name for it is "partial 16S ribosomal RNA". It matches the Rfam family "Bacterial small subunit ribosomal RNA", at positions 28 to 507 of the family's 1533-position model. The record is from RNAcentral.
GAUGAGCGCUGGCGGCGUGCCUAAUACAUGCCAGUCGAGCGAACAGACGAGGAGCUUGCUCCUUCGACGUUAGCGGCGGACGGGUGAGUAACACGUAGGUAACCUACCUAUAAGACUGGGAUAACUUCGGGAAACCGGAGCUAAUACCGGAUAAUAUUUCGAACCGCAUGGUUCGAUAGUGAAAGAUGGCUUUGCUAUCACUUAUAGAUGGACCUGCGCCGUAUUAGCUAGUUGGUAAGGUAACGGCUUACCAAGGCAACGAUACGUAGCCGACCUGAGAGGGUGAUCGGCCACACUGGAACUGAGACACGGUCCAGACUCCUACGGGAGGCAGCAGUAGGGAAUCUUCCGCAAUGGGCGAAAGCCUGACGGAGCAACGCCGCGUGAGUGAUGAAGGUCUUCGGAUCGUAAAACUCUGUUAUUAGGGAAGAACAAACGUGUAAGUAACUGUGCACGUCUUGACGGUACCUAAUCAGAAAGCCACGGCUAACUACGUG